AAAUCAAUUAAGGCACAAGAUUGGAGAAGGGAUGCAGGUAAUUUAAUCAUAGAAACAUUUAUGGCAGCAUCGGCAUCCUCCAACACGAUUAGUAAGCAUGUCUAUUAUAGAGCACCAGAAGUUUGGCAACAACGGUCCUUUCACUCCCCUUGAAAAUAUGUAUGUACAACCCUCCGCAUAUCAUAAAUAUUCAGCAAUACAUACCAAAGCUGUAGUUGAUCUGUACAAACACAAUUUACACGGAAGGAAGAACAUUAUGUUUCCUAAGAUUUUCUUUGCAGAUAUGUGGUUCACAAUUCAGCAAGAGCAUGCCAUCACUGAUGAUGCAUGAGUACAAUGACAUGCAUUCUGUACUCAGUACCAAUGCACACACAGGAAGUGAUCAGACCCUAGAGUACUAUGCGUUUGCUUGACAACAUUAUUUGCCUCCUCUUGGGUUGGUUUGUCCUGUCAUUAUGAAAAGGAAGUUUAGGUUCUUGUAGGAAAAAUAUCUAACAUGUGGCAUACACCAACGUGUAAUCUCAAAACUGAAAAUUUGUUGGAAUUGAUCCAGUUAUUGAGCAUGCCAUGCUACAGAUAUGGAGGGAGAGAUUAACGAAUGAAUUUCUAUCCCUGAUGGUAGACAAAGCUAACUGCUCACAGAACAAUUCACACUCUGAUAUUAUGGGCAUAUACUAAAGCAUUUUGAGAAGCACAAACUUAAGCAAAGAGACCAUGAAUCUAUUUUGGUACGCUUCUUCUGUAGCUAUCACUUCAGGUAUCAAAAUGUUGAUGUGACAUCUGGUGUUCGAAGUAGAUUUGAAUGCUAGCAUACCUGAAAACUAUGCCAACAUUUUUUCUUUUGGACCUUCUUUAAGUAGGUGAGUAUUUUUCGGAUAACAACUCUGCUUUACCUCAAAAUUGAUCAACCAGUGUGCCAAUGAAUAGAGCUAUAGAAUUCAGUAAAGUAUGUACUCAUGUACUCCAGAUCCUUGCGAUUCGAACAGUGAACUUCCAACGAUAGGACUGCCUCUCACGUCCUUUCGCGGCGGGACUCCAUCGAUUAAUUCCUGCUGAUGUAAAAAGAGAAAGUGAUUAAUAUAGGAUAGUUAUAGAUUAGCCACCAAGAAAAAAGGCAAAUACAAAAGGAAAAAUAAGCUGUAAUAGUUAUCCAUUGCUUAGUCUAAAGAGAGAGCACAUGCAACAAUGCAUUUUUUAUCACUUAUAAUUGUUUCUACUAAUUUCCCUUAUCCAAAUAACCUGGCAAAUUGUACUCACAAACUAAACAUGCACAUAUUAUUGAUAGCCCAGUUCAAUUCUUUAAACAUAUGUUACCUAAACUAUUUCAAAAUCACUAGGAAACUAAGCAUAUAUGACAUGUACAGUGACUUGUAACAACAUAUGAACCAACUAUGUCACUGAUCCUGAUGCAUAUAGAUGAGUGAGUGUGAUAUGUCAUUAUAAUAUGCAACAACACUCAAGUGUGUACUGUUUUAGGCUGCAUGACAUGCUUUCAUAAAAAACAGAUCUUGCUGAUAUAAAAGAAACCCAUUGUUCAUUAUUUGCUUUAUUGGUACCAAGGAAAUGCAAGAACAUGAGUUACCGCUUCUAUUGUCUUAUUCAACCUGGGGAAAUUAUGACCACAAGCUAUGCAAUGUGUUCUUAUCUCCAUGCUAUCCCUCGCGCUUUCAGGUAGCUCAAGUCACACUCAUUGUGUCUAUCGACAGGCCCAUACCAAUAAAUUUUCAAACAUGUUUAUGAUGAAAAUACAAAUAUUUCAAAUCAAUAGAAUAGAAAAAAUAGUUACAAAUUUAUUGUUCCAUGGCAACUCCUUGUUUCUAAAUUAAGUACCGGUUCAGUUGUCUAAAGUUGACUUUCGUACUUAUCUAUAAUCAUAAGAAGUAAAACAAAGAUAUUUUUGUUUAGGACAGUCACUUAAAAUGUAAAAUACCCUAAUAAAAAAGAACUUACACCAAAGUUUAGCUGAGUGCAACUGAAAAAAUAGUGAAAUUUACUAUUUUUUUAGUGCCAGGUCGAUUGUCAUAGAUCAUAUCUGACUCAGUUAGCCGAUGAAUGGUUCAUUUCAUAAAGUCAAAAUAUAUAUACAUACUUUCAAGUGUGUAGUACUCCAUAAGUUUUUUUAAUUAACAUGCACAACGGCUAAAUGCAUAACUGAACAUACAUUAAAACCUAGAAGGUCCCUGAUGGCUGAUAUUUAGACUAAUCUACAUGGUCUGGAAGCUAAAUCACUAUGGAUAACAGAACAUCUCCAGGCAAGACCAGAGGAUCUCAGUCUAUUUCCCUAUCGGAUAAAAUCUCAAAGAGCAAGAUUAUAGCAAAAAGGAAGCGUACCAUCAUGAAGUAAUACAUGAGUAUGUGCUACAUCUUGAGCUUGUGUUGGUUUUCCUUGAAGAGGAAAGGGUGAUGCAGCAAAGUAGCGUAAGUAUUUCCCUCAGUUUUUGAGAACCAAGGUAUCAAUCCAGUCGGAGGCUCCUCAAAAGUCCCAUGCACCUACACAAACAAACAAGAACCUCGCAACCAACGCAAUAAAGGGGUUGUCAAUUCCUUCAUGACCACUUGCAAAAGUGAGAUCUGAUUGUGAUAAUUUGGUAAUAUAAAUAUUUUUGGUAUGUUUAUGAUAUAGAUUGGAAAAUAAAAGAUGCAGAUAAAAGUAGAUGGAAAACUUAUAUGAUAAAAGGUAGACCCGGGGGCCAUAGGUUUCACCAGUGGCUUCUCUCAAGAUAGCAUAAGUAUUACGGUGGGUGAACAAAUUACUAUGGAGCAAUUAAUAGAAAAGCGCAUAGUUAUGAGAUUAUCUAGGCAUGAUCAUGUAUAUAGGCAUCAUGUCCGUGACAAGUAGACCGACUCCUGCCUGCAUCUACUACUAUUACUCCACACAUCGACCGACUCCUGCCUGCAUCUAGAGUAUUAAGUUCAUAAGAACAGAGUAAUGCAUUAAGAAAUAUGACAUGAUGUAGAGGGAUAAACUCAUGCAAUAUGAUAUAAACCCCAUCUUUUUAUCCUCGAUGGUAACAAUAAAAUAUGUGCCUUGCUGCCCAUGCUGUCACUGGGAAAGGACAUCGCAAGAUUGAACCCAAAGCUAAGCACUUGUCCCAUUGCGAGAAAGAUCAAUCUAGUAGGCCAAACCAAACUGAUAAUUUGAAGAGACUUGCAAAGAUAACUUAAUCACACAUAAAAGAAUUCAGAGGAGAUUCAAAUAUUUCUCAUAGAUAAACUUGAUCAUAAACCCACAAUUCAUCGGAUCUCGACAAAAACACCGCAAAAAGAGUUACAUCGAAUAGAUCUCCAAGAAGAUCAAGGAGAACUUGCUAUUGAGAAUCAAAGAGAGAGAAGAAGCCAUCUAGCUAAUAACUAUGGACCCAAAGGUCUGUGGUAAACUACUCACAACUCAUCGGAGAGACCUUGGAGAUGAUGUAGAGGCCCUCCGUGGUCGAUCCCCCCUCCGGCGGAGCGCCAACGAAGGCUCCAAGAUGGGAUCUCACGGAUACAGAAGGUUGUGGCAGUGGAAAUAGUUUUUCGUGGUGCUCCCGGAUGUUUUUGGGGUACGUGGGUAUAUAUAGGAGGAAGAAGUAGGUCGGUGGACGCUCGAGGAGCCCACGAGGGUGGGGGGCGUGCCGGGCACCCUCGUGGCCACCUCCUCUGUUGCUUGACGUCCACUCCAAGUCCCCUGGAUUGCGUUUGUUCCAAAAAGAUCGCUCCCGAAGGUUUCAUUCCGUUUGGACUCCGUUUGAUAUUCCUUUUCUUCGAAGCACUGAAAUAGGCAAAAAAAUAGCAAUUUGGGCUGGGCCUCUGGUUAGUAGGUUAGUCCCAAAAAUGAUAUAGAAGUGUAAAGUAAAGCCCAUAAACAUCCAAAAUGGUUAAUAUAAUAGCAUGGAACAUUCAAAAAUUAUAGAUACGUUGGAGACAUAUCAAGCAUCCCCAAGCUUAAUUUCUGCUCGUCCUCGAGUAGGUAAAUGAUAAAAAUAGAACUUUUGAUGUGGAAUGCUACCUAUCAUAAUUCUCAAUGUAAUUUUCUUUAUUGUGGCAUGAAUGUUCAGAUCCAAAUGAUUUAAAAAAAAGUUCAUAUUGACAUAAGAAAUAGUAAUACUUCAAGCAUACUAAUCAAAGUAACCAUGUCUUCUCAAAAUAACAUGGCUAAAGAAAGUUCAUCCCUACAAAAUCAUAUAGUUUGGUCAUGCUCCAUUUUUGUCACACAAGAAUGCUCUCAUCUUGCACACCCUCGAUGACAAGCCAAGCAAUUGUUUCAUACUUUAGCAAUCUCAAACUUUUUUCAACUUUCACGCAAUACAUGAGCGUGAGCCAUGGAUAUAGCACUAUGAGUGGAAUAGAAUAUGAUGAUGGAGGUUGUGUGGAGAAGACAAAAAAAGGAAUAAAGUCUCAUGUUAACGAGGCUAAUCAACGGCUACAAAGAUGCCCAUCAAUUGAUGUCAACAUGAGGAGUAGGGAUUGCCAUGCAAGGGAUGCGCUAGAGCUAUAAAUGUAUGAAGCUCAACAAAAGAAACUAAGUGGGUGUGCAUCCAACUUGCUUGCUCACGAAGACCUAGGGCAUUUUGAGGAAGCCCAUCAUAGGAAUAUACAAGCGAAGUUCUAUAAUGAAAAAUUCCCACUAGUAUAUGAAAGUGACAACAAAUGAGACUCUCUAUAUGAAGAACAUGGUGCUACUUUGAAGCACAAGUGUGGAAAAAGAUAGUAACAUUGUCCCCCUUUUUUCCUUUUUUGGGCCUUUCCUUUUUUUGGCCUUUCUCUUUUUUUAUAAGGGACAAUGAUCUAAUAAUGAUGAUCAUCACACUUCUAUUUAUUUACAACUCAUGAGUUACAAAUCAAAACUAGAACAAGAUAUGACUCUAUAUGAAUGCCUCCGGUGGUGUACCGGGAUGGGCAAUGAAUCAAGGUGGCUUUGCCACAAAUACAAUGUCAACUACAUAAUCAUGCAAGGCAAUAUGACAAUGAUGAUGUGUGUCAUGAUGAUGAAUGGAACGGUGGAAAGUUGCAUGUCAAUAUAUCUCGGAAUGGCUAUGGAAAUGCCAUAAUAGGUACGUAUGGUGGCUGUUUUGAGGAAGAUAUAAGGAGGUUUAUGUGUGAUAGAGCGUAUCGUAUCACGGGGUUUGGAUGCAUCGCCGAAGUUUGCACCAACUCUCAAGGUGAGAAAGGGCAAUGCACGGUACCGAAGAGGCUAGCAAUGAUGGAAGGGUGAGAGUGCGUAUAAUCCAUGGACUCAACAUUAGUCAUAAACAACUCAUAUACUUAUUGCAAAAAUCUUCAAGUCAUCAAAAACCAAGAACUACGCGAAUGCUCCUAGGGGGAUAGAUUGGUAGGAAAAGACCAUCGUUCGUCCCCGACCGCCACUCAUAAGGAUGACAAUCUAAGAACACCUCAUAUUUCAAAUUUGUUACACAACGGUUACCAUACGUGCAUGCUACGGGACUUGCCAACUUCAACACAAGCAUUCUUUAAAUUCACAAUUACCCAACUAGCAUGACUCUAAUAUCACCACCUCCAUAUCUCAAAACAAUUAUCAAGCAUCAAAUUGAUCAUAGCAUCCAAUUCACUUCCUAUGAUAGUUUUUAUUAUACCCAACUUGGAUGCUCAUCAUUCCAGGACCAAUUUUAUAACCAUAGAAAAUACCAUGCUGUCCUAAGAGACUCUCAAAAUUAUAUAAGUGAAGCAUGAGAGAUCAAUAAUUUCUAAAAAAUCAAGCCACCACCGUGCUCUAAAAGAUAUAAGUGAAGCACUAGAGCAAAACUAUCUAGCUCAAAAGAUAUAAGUGAAGCACAUAGAGUAUACUAAUAAAUUCCAAUCAAGUGGGUUUCUCCCAAAAGGUGUGUACAGCAAGGAUGAUUGUGGUAAACUAAAAAGCAAAGACUGAUAUCAUACAAGACACUCCAAGCAAAACAUAUAUCAUGUGGCGAAUAAAAAUAUAACUCCAAGUAAAGUUAUCGAUAGACGAAGAUGAAAGAGGGGAUGCCUUCUGGGCAUCCCCAAGCUUAGGCUUUUGGUUAUCCUUGAAUAUAUUGUGGUGCCAUGGGCAUCCCCAAGCUUAGGCUCUUGCCACUCCUUAUUCCAUAGUCCGUCAAAUCUUUACCCAAAACUUGAAAACUUCACAACACAAAACUCAACAGGAAAUCUCAUAAGCUCCGUUAGUGCAAGAAAGAAAAACCACCACAUAAGGUACUGUAAUAAACUCAUUCUUUAUUUAUAUUGGUGUUAAACCUAAUGUAUUCCAACUUCUCUAUGGUCCAUAACUACCAAUACUAGCCAUAGAUGCAUCAAAAUAAGCAAACAACACAUGAAAAACAGAAUCUGUCAAAAACAGAACAGUCUGUAGCAAUCUGUAACUUUCGAAUACUUCUGGAACUCUAAACAUCCUACCAAAAUAGGAAGUCCUGGAAAAUUUGUCUAUUGAUCUACAUCGAAAAGAAUCAACACCAAAUCACGUUUCUGUGAUUUACUAAAAUUAUUUUCGUGCGUGCAAAAGUUUCUGUUUUUCAGCAGAAUCAAAUUAACUAUCACCAUAGGUUAUCCUAUAGGUUCUACUUGGCACAAACACUAAUUAAAACAUGAAAACACAUCUAAACAGAAGCUAGAUGAAAUAUUUAUUACUAAACAGAAGCAAAAAGCAAAAAUAAAAUAAAAUUGGGUUGCCUCCCAACUAGCGCUAUCGUUUAACGCCCCUAGCUAGGCAUAAAAGCAAGGAUAGAUCUAAGUAGUGCCAUAAUAAUAAGAUAGAUCACGAAAACUCAUCUCAUAUUCUCUACGUUCAACAGCAAGUUUUCUUUGAGGCAAUCAAAAGUAAUCAAAAGGGCUAACUUUAAUGGGACAAAAGUCCCCAAGAUCAAGCUCAGGAGGUAUGGGUUCCUCCUUUGGCCCUUCAUAUUGCACAACCAAUUCAUCAUUCUAAACAUUCUUUUGACAGAACCUCUUGUGUCUACACUCAAGGGAAUAUCCUAGCUAAUUAUUUCAAAUAGCAAAAUCAUUAUUAAGUUCAGAAAUUUUGUCAAUUAGAACAGUGGUAGGAACCUUUUUUCUAAGGUUUUCAUUAAAAGCAACAUAGUCCAAAGAUUGGAAACACAUUAUUUCCUCUUGAUCGAAGAGGAUCACUUCUAUGGGGGGACGGCCGGCGUCCACCCUAUAGUGCGCAAAAAUUUCUUUGGCUUCUUUUAUUAUAAAUCUGAACUCAUGUGCCAAAAAGAUAGUAGCCGCGCGCUUAACAGAAGAAUGCUCAAUAUUAGAAAAUUCUAGGAAAAUCCUUUGUAUGCAAGGAUGCAUGUGCAUAAACUGUCUUUCAAGUUCAACUAUAAGCAUGGCGAUAGCAUCCGCAAGACUACUAGUUCUAUGCAAGAUAGAACUACCCAUAGAAGGUAAAGCACCGGCACAAGUAAAGAAAUCUUGAAUAACUCCUUUUCCAAUAAUAUUACCACUACCGAUUCGAACCUUUUUAGUAUGUAAGAUAGGGGGUUCUUCAGCAAGAGCAUCAAAGUUUUCCAUGUUAUCAUUAUUGUCCAUAUCGACGAUAAUCUCCCCAAUUUUAGACAUAACGACAGAAAAAGCGAGGAGAAAGAGAAAGAGGGAGGCAAACGGAAAGAGAGGGCGAAUAAAACGGCAAGGGUGAAGUGGGGGAGAGGAAAACGAGAGGCAAAUGGCAAAUAAUGUAAUGCGAGGGAGAUGAGUUUGUGAUAGGUACUUGGUAUGUCUUGACUUGAGCGAAGACCUCCCCGGCAACGGCGCCAGAAAUCCUUCUUGAUACGUCUUGAGCUUGCGUUGGUUUUCCUUGAAGAGGAAAGGGUGAUGUAGCAAAGUAGUGUAAGUAUUUCCCUCAUUUUUUGAGAACCAAGGUAUCAAUCCAGUAGGAGGCUCCUCAAAAGUCCCACGCACCUACACAAACAAACAAGAACCUUGCAACCAACAAAAUAAAGGGGUUGUCAAUCCCUUCACGUUCACUUGCGAAAGUGAGAUCUGAUAGAGAUAAUAUGAUAACAUAAUUUUUUUGGUAUUUUUAUGAUAUAGAUUUGAAAAUAAACGAUGCAAAUAAAAGUAGAUGAAAAACUUAUAUGAUAAAAGGUAGACCCCGGGGCCAUAGGUUUCAUUAGUGGCUUCUCUCAAGAUAGCAUAAGUAUUACGGUGGGUGAACAAAUUACUAUCGAGCAAUUGAUAGAACAGCACAUAGUUAUGAGAUUAUCUAGGCAUGAUCAUGUAUAUAGGCAUCACGUCCAUGACAAGUAGACCGACUCCUUCCUGCAUCUACUACUAUUACUCCACACAUCGACCGACUCUUGCCUGCAUCUAGAGUAUUAAGUUCAUAGGAACAGAGUAACGCAUUAAGAAAGAUGACAUGAUGUAGAGGGAUAAACUCACGCAAUAUGAUAUAAACCCCAUCUUUUUAUCCUCGAUGGCAACAAUACAAUACGUGCCUUGCUGCCCCUGCUGUCAUUGGGAAAGGACACCGAAAGAUUGAACCCAAAGCUAAGUACUUCUUCCAUAGCAAGAAAGAUCAAUCUAGUAGGCCAAACCAAACUGAUAAUUCGAAGAGACUUGCAAAGAUAACUUAAUCACACAUAAAAGAAUUCAGAGGAGAUUCAAAUAUUUCUCAUAGAUAAACUUGAUCAUAAACCCACAAUUCAUUAGAUCUCGAUAAACACACCGCAAAAAGAGUUACAUUGAAUAGAUGUCCAAGAAGAUCAAGGAGAACUUGGUAUUGAGAAUCAAAGAGAGAGAGAAGAAGCCAUCCAGGUAAUAACUAUGGACCCGAAGGUCUGUGGUAAACUACUCACAACUCAUCGGAGAGGCCUUGGAGAUGAUGUAGAGGCCCUCCGUGGUCGAUUCCCCCUCCGGCGGAGCGCCGACGAAGGCUCCAAGAUGGGAUCUCGCGGAUACAGAAGGUUGCGGCAGUGAAAAUAGUUUUUCGUGGUGCUCCUAGAUGUUUUCGGGGUACAUGGGUAUAUAUAGGAGGAAGAAGUAGAUCGGUGGACGCUCGAGGGGCCCACGAGCGUGGGGGGCACGCCCACCCCUAGGGAGUGCACCGGGCACCCUCGUGGCUGCCUCCUCUAUUGCUUGACGUCCACUCCAAGUCCCCUGGAUUACGUUUGUUCCAAAAAGAUCACUCGCGAAGAUUUCAUUCCGUUUGGACUCCGUUUGAUAUUCCUUUUGUUCAAAACACUGAAAUAGGCAAAAAAAACAGCAAUUUGGGCUGGGCCUCCGGUUAGUAGGUUAGUCCCAAAAAUGAUAUAAAAGUGUAAAGUAAAGCCCAUAAACAUCCAAAACGGGUAAUAUAAUAGUAUGGAACAAUCAAAAAUUAUAGAUACGUUGGAGACGUAUCAGUAUGCCAGCAAUCCAUGAGAUUGUGCAUCACGUCCGUCUUUCGGUUUAAGAGAAAUUGAUAAGAAUUUAACAUUACACGUGCGACGUGGUUCCUAAAUUAUCUGCACAGGAAAUUUUUACAUAUACACAUCAUAUGAGUAAAAUUUAUUCGAUUCCAAAUCUUGUAUUCAGUGGAGCAGAGAACCGAUCAUGGAUUUAAAGAAUGGAGUUACAGUAUGAUGUAAUCAUGCAUAAAUAUAGAAAAGCCCACAUUUGUACUCCUUGAAAAAAUUAAUUAACAAUUACACUUAACCAUGUGUAUGUACAAUUGCUAUUUUUCUUGAAACAUCAAGUACAACAAUUACCUUUAGAAUGGCAACAAUGUCCUCUUUGUAGUUCUUAUGUAAAUAGCGACAACAAAUACACUAUGAUGACAAUAGCCACAUCUCGCGUAGUGCUAAGUGCUGCUACGACCAAUUGACUCAUGCCCGGACACCUAUCAUGUAUAAACAUACAUAGAUGACUGACUGCUACAACUGAGUGCUUCCCAAUUCCUCAGGUUACAACAUGCAACUGAAGGAUGUACAUAAUCACAAACUGUCUUCAGUCAUAAUGCAGAUGAAGGUACAUAAUUAUUUGUUUUCUCAAUGCAUCAAAGCUCACUUCCAAUAAGAUGGAGGUGCAGCAUGCUGAGAGGGAGGGGGGAGGGGAAGAGAGAAGGAGGUUGCAUGGUCUCUAUCGUGUUAAUGAAUUGCACACCUUGAUAGCAGAAAUAUUAUAUAGCAACUAUGUAGUAGUUGGAUAAAAAAUAAAGAAGAUGUGCUGUAAUGAUAACUAAUAUUAUACAACAAACAAUAAUAUUCUCAAAACUCCUCAAAACUAAACCUCUAACAACUGUCAGUGGCUUGUAUCAAGUUGCAGGGGGCCCAUAUUAGAACUGUAGGAAGAUGAAACAUAUAAAGUCAUAUUACAUAAAAACAUGGAAGCAUAAACAUCAUUUAGUCAGGUAUUUCAGCUAGGAGCUUGCUCCACCCAGUCAAACACAACCCUUGCAAGCUCGUAUGUCCUAUUCCUAGAUUCGGUAUUGUUGCUUAGUUCUGCCUAUCAGACAAUAGCUCCUUCCUUUGUCCUUGUUCGGACAACAAAAUAAAGAGAUCUGUGAUCAAACCCUCCCACCCCCAACCCAUCAGAAAUUGUAGGACUAUGUAAUUGUCACCCAGGCUGUAGUAUGCUCACUAUCAACCCCACCAACACAAAAUUAGUCCAUCAGAAAUGCUACCAAAAUAGGCCAUGUAAUUUUUCCUACACUACAAUUCAGGAACUACUAACACCAAAUUCAUGUUGAUAUUCAGACGCACAAAUAGUCUACAUCAACUACUGCAUGGUACACGAAAAACAGGGAAUCACCUCUUCAUUCAACCAGGCACACCAGGAAUUACUUUCCCUGUUAAUUCCACCGACCACGCUGGCAUAUCUCCCUUCCUUGUCGACUCUAUUCAUCUGCUGCCGCUGUAGCAUAGACACAAUUGAGUGAUUUAGCCAAUGUGAAACUGAUGUUUUACUUGCACUUAACUUAAAUUGGAAGUAAAAAAUAAACUAUGCACAUCAGCAGAAAUGAUUAUCAACAAAGCCAUAAUGUAGUGCCAUGGGAAACAACACCAAAUAAAGCAUCAUUACUUUAUAGGUGCAAGAAAGAAAGAUGCUAGCAACAUUGCUGCACCCGAAACUGUAAAUAUCGAGUCCCCAGCCACUUGUUUGGCUUUCCUGAAAGAAGCUGCCAUCUAUAUUGAUCAAUCACCCAGCCAACAUCCCUUCGGAGACAACUAUUUCGUCGCUUCACUCGUCGUGCUCAUUCUCAGUUAGCACAACAUCUCCUUUAGGCUAGUCAAGCUACAAAAUUUUGCAAAACAUACCAGCAUUUGCCCAGACAUUGGGGAAAGGUGUAGGCGCCUUCGUCGUUGAAUCUGUGGACAACCAAAAAGAUGAAAUCAAUGUCCAUGCCUCCAAAAUCAACACAAUAUUUCCUCUCUCGAUCUCCUUGCUUGUUCCAUCCUCGCUCUGCUCAUCCAUGGGAGGCGGCAGAGCUAGAACAGGGGAGCCAGUGUGGGAUGGAGGCUGUCCAUGAGGAGUGACUGCAUGGGAUCCGGCAAGCAUCAUCUCUAUAGCAGGUUGUGACUUGUGAGCCACAUUGGAUUGGAGAGGACAUGGGUGUGGAGCCGGCGAGCAGCACCCCGGGGGAGUGGAAAUGAAGGUGCCAGGGAGAGGUGAUGGAUCCUUGUGCACGACAUCAAGGGGCCAUGGCAGAGAUGCCUUGGGAGGCGCGCCGAUGGUGAGGUGAGUCACCGUGGCGGGGUCGCGCAGAAUCAUGGCUUCCACCGGCGCUCCAUCAUGGCUACCGGCAGGUGUCGUUCUCCAGGGAGCCGGUGGCCGGGGCUUUGUCAAGGCUAUUGAACGGCGGAAGAGUACUAUGACAGCGACUAUAAUGGAAGGAGGGAGGUCGGCGAGGGUUGUCGGGAGAUGAGGCCGGAGGGAUCGGUGCGGCGGUGGAGGGAACCCUAACACCGGGGCUGUUGCCUUCUCGUAUGGGAGAGAGGCUUCGUCGAAUCAUUUUUUCAAUUAAAGAUUAAAGAUAAAUAUAUGGUGUACGGGUUGAUUCUAAUAAAGAUGAGGUGACUACGGAUAGGAAGAAGCAUAUUAUGACAUAGGAAGAAAGCGCAUUGCGACGGUGAACCCGACAGACUCAAUCCGUGCUUUAUUAUUAGGGAGAGAUGGUGGACUCUCAUGGCAAAACUAGGUUUAAGGAUAUUUGGAAGCACAAGUAGUAUCUCUACUUGGUGCAAGAAAUUUUGCUAGCAUGAGGGGGAAAGGCAAGCUCAACAUGUUUGAAUGAUCCAUGACAAUAUACUUUAAUUGAUAUGUGAGAAAACAUAAACCAUUACGUUGUCUUCCUUGUCCAACACCAAAUCUUUAGCAUGUCAUACUUUAGUGAGUGCUCACAAUCAUAAAAGAUGUCCAAGAUAGUAUAUUUAUAUGUGAAAACCUCUCUUUCUUUAUUACUUCCUAUUAAUUGCAACGAUGACCAAAACUAUGUUUGCCAACUCUCAACAACUUUUAAUCAUCAUACCCUCUAUAUGUGAAGUCACUACUAUCCAUAAGAUCAAUAUGAACCCCUUUUUUAUUCUUUUGUGCACUUAAGAUCAUAGCAAGAUAGCAAAGCCCUUGACUCAACACUAAUCUUUAUUAUAUAUAGCUCAUGGACUCGAUUACAUAGAGGGAUCACAAAGCAAAACUCAAAACUUAUUCAUACGAAAACUUUAUUCUACUAGAUCAAGAUAUUAUCAAAAGGAUCGAAUUAAGAAAAACGGUAAAGAUAGGAGUGUGAUGGUGAUACGAUACCGGGGCAACUCCCCCAAGCUUGGCAGUUGCCAAGGGGAGUUCCCAUACCCAUGUGAUUAUGUCCUCGGAGGUGGUGAAGAAGGGGUUGUUGAUGAUGUAGACUUGUCGUCCGUCUUCCAAGGCAUAGGCUCACCAUCAUAGAAGGAUGAUCGAGUCUCCGGGAUCCUCAAAUCUGCAGCCAAACUCAUCCUUUUGAAUCUAUAUUCAUACUCAUAGCUUUGGUUUUGCAGGUCAUAGAUCUGGGCAUGGAGGUGCUCGAUUUUCUCAUGAAGCUUAAAGAUGGUCUCCCCAAUGUUCUUGGCGUCCAGCUUGUGGUUGUUGGUGAACUCCGCGAUCAUCAUCUGGUUGGCGUUAAGUCCACGCUCCACCAUCCCUUGGCACUUGAAAACUUGUUGUUCCAUCGCUUCGAGCUUUGUCUCCACGCUUACUCCUUGGUCCCUCCACAUCGCGGAUGUGCAGCACCCCCUCACGCAUAUCAAUGGUUUGUGGGUGAUGCAGCACCUCCGCGAGGUAGGGGUUGAGGACCCUCUCGAAAAACUUGUCCUUGGGAGCGCUUGAAGACGUCAUGGUGCUCUAGAUCUGUCAGAAAAACAGCUCGAAACAAAGACAGCGGAUAUUUGCGUGAUACGGUGGUCUAAACCUUCGGGAGAUUAUAUAAUGAAUUUUUACCGACCAAAAGAAGUAUCGUGCAAGAAAAUGGAGUCCAGAGAGCACACGAGGUGCCCACGAGGCAGGGGGCGCACCCAGCAAGGUAGGGCGCGCCCUCCACCCUCGUGGACGCCUCGUGUCCUUCCCGGACUACUUCUUAUUUUCCUAUUUUCUUAAAUAUUCCAAAACGGAGAAAAAUUGAUAUUUGAACUAUUUUGGAGUCGGUUUACUUACCGCACCACAUACCUAUUCCUUUUCGUAGUCUGAAACGUUCUCGAAAGUGUCCCUUAUGUAUUCCUCCAGGGUUACGAUUUCAAUAAUAUUAGUUUCAACAUUUAUAGGAUACCUGAUAUAUAGUGUUUGAUUCUUUGACCGUUCACCACCUUUGGAUUUGUGCCUUCGAAGUUAUUGAUUUUUAUGGCACCGGAAUGAUAGACCUCCUUGAUAACGUAAGGGCCUUCCCAUUUAGAGAGAAGUUUUCCUGCAAAAAAUCUUAAACGGGAGUUGAAAAGCAAAACAUAAUCACCUAUGUUAAACUCACGCUUUUGUAUCCUCUUGUCAUGCCAUCUUUUAACUUUUUUCUUUAAACAGCUUGGCAUUCUCAUAAGCUUGGUUCUCCAUUCAUCUAGUGAGCUAAUAUCAAAUAACCUCUUCUCACCGGCAAGUUUGAAAUCAUAAUUUAGCUCUUUAAUAUCCCAAUAUGCCUUAUGUUCUAGUUCGAGAGGUAAGUGACAUGCUUUUCCAUAAACCAUUUUAUAUGGAGACAUACCCAUAGGAUUCUUAUCUGCAGUUCUAUAGGCCCAUAAUGCAUCAAGUUUCUUGGAGCAAUUCUCUAGAUCUAUUAACAGUAUUUUGCAAAAUUAAUUUGAGCUCUCUAUUACUCAACUCUACUUGACCACUAGACUGUGGGUGAUAAGGAGAUGCAAUUCUAUGAUUAACAUCAUACUAAGCAAGCAUUUUACGAAAAGCACCAUGAAUAAAAUGUGAACCACCAUCAGUCAUGAGAUAUCUAGGGACUCCAAACCUUGGAAAAAUAACUUCUUUAAACAUCUUAAUAAAAUGUUAUGAUUAGCACUACUAGUUGGAAUAGAUCCUACCCACUUAGUAACGCAAUCAACAGCAACUAAAAUAUGUGUAUACCCAUUAGAGGCAGGAAAAGGUCCCAUAUAAUGAAAGCCCCAAACAUCAAAUGGUUCAAUAACAAGAGAAUAAUUCAUAGUCAUUUCUUGACGUGUACUAAUAUUACCAAUUCUUUGACAUUCAUCACAAGACAAGACAAACUUACGGGCAUCUUUGAAGAGAGUAGGCCAAUAAAAACCGGAUUGCAAUACCUUAUGUGUAGUUCUAUCUCCAGCAUGGUGUCCUCCAUAUGACUCGGAGUGACACUGUAACACCCCAGUUGUAACAUGUCCCAAUUUGGCAAUAUAUCAACUUGACCUUCAUCCAAUUCUUGUGGGUUUUAUCAUGUUUGGCCUCACCUUGUUUGGUUAUGUGUUUUAUUCUUUUCAUUGUCAUGCUCACCUUACCAUAUUGCAUUUGUGCCUCUUGUCAUUUUGCAUUCAUCCUCAUCAUGUGCAUGUUGUGAUCUCAUACAUAUUAUGUUGUUGCAUGCUCAAUGCAUAAACCUUGCAUCACCACCUCCUCCUUCCCUCUACUUCCUUUUUUUGUCAAGUGCUAUUUUCCCUUCUCCUUAAAUGUUCAUAGUCUCCCUAUAAAUCUUGCUCCAUGCCCUAAACCUCUCUGCCAAAUAUCUCCUUAUUUGAAGUUGUUUUGGUCAGGUUCAAAAAUGACACAAAUUUGCAUUAUAUUCAAACUUGUCUUAUUUUUCUACCUCUAAAAAUGCCCAAUGCAAUUUAUUAAAAUAGUGGAUAAUUCCAGGAGUUUGAGAAUAUUUUCUUUAUACUCUAACUCCUCUACUGUUACCCUGUGCUUUUCUAUUUCUAUUUCUGUUUGCACAAAUAGAAAAAGAAGAGCAGAGCGCAGCAGCCCCCCUAGGCCUCCCGCAGCCCAGCCAAGGCUUUUCUGCCCGCUAGCCCAGCCAGCCGAGGCCUUUCCAGCCCAGCCAACGCAGCCUGCUAGCCCACUUGCGCGCUCUCGCGCUCACCCGCUCGCGCCCUCGUCGUUUCUCACCCAGCCGCGAUGCUACCCAGUAGCCCGUACGCCCACGUGUCCUUCGCGGCCCCACUAGCCAGCCUCUGGCUACAGCGCACCCGCCCCUCACCUUUUCGUCAAGCUCGCGCCUAGCGCGCACAUGGCCACGGCCGCGUCGACGCCGUGCUCCACCCGUCGCCCUGGCCCCCCUUUUAACCCCUCUCCAUGUCCACACAACCCCUAGGGUUUCCCUCUUCCUCUCAUCGCCGCCGCCAGGUGAGUAGAACCACCAGAUCCACCGCAACCGCUCCGUCCCGAGCGCACCUGAGAGCGCACCUCGUCGCCGGCGUGCUCUCCGAUCACCCCCAACCCCGUAGAUCGUGUCCUUCUUCUUCCUUGUCGUUGUCUUCUUCCACGACGUCGACUACGGUGCCCCGGACGACGAGUUCCUCGAUGUCCUCUGCUUCCACUUCCGCUCGGUCAGGACCGCGCCAAGGUUCAGAGCUCCAAUUCGUCGCCGUCAGCUCGUCUCCGUCGACCACUUCGUGUCCUUGGGUGAGCUGGGUAAUGCAUCGUCCUCUCCCAUCCAUACCUUUCGCGUUUAGGAACCUCCUAGGGUUCGUUCGAUUCGUGUCUUUGCCGUGCUCCCGGUGACCCAGCGUAGCUAUAACUAUCUGUUGCGCGCGUAGGUGCAGAAACGUCUCCGCGCCCUGGUUCGCGCCUAGCGCGCCCCUUCGCUGGCCUCACCCUGCCCGUGUGCACGCUCACUUCCGCGCGCACCCGGCCUUUCCGUGUGUCGCCGUAGUUGCUGCUGCCGCUCGCCGCGGACGCCAUGGCCCCGAGCCGAGCAACUGCCCGAGCUCGAGUGCCCCUGCAAUCCCCUCAUAGCUGCACGCAUCCUUACGCCUUUCCGCACGCUCGCCGAAGACCCUAUGCCCGUUGGUUGCCGCCGUUGCCCUCGCCGGCGCCAUCGUCUUCUCUGGUUGCAACAGAGGAGCUCGAUCUAGUGUCUAUCUAAAAGGGGCCGAACCCCUUUUCCUAUCAGUAGCACCUAGCUAGCCCAGUGCUUGCCGAUGCAGUACCACACCGGGGAGACCUGGGUUCGAUCCCCCGCGGGUGCAUUAUUCUUCCCCCCCUUUUUACUGUUUCUUUGCACUGUGAGUAUGACAGGGUGACCCCACCUGUCAUCCUCCCUUGGCCCUGUUUGUUAUUUUAUUUUUUUAUUUUAUUGUUGUUCCCUGCGAUAUUCCAUUUCUAGCAUAUGGAAUCUAUCCAUUUCGGGCAAGUCCAUUUCUGGACGUUUCCAAAUAUGGAAAAUGCCAUUUCUGUCAUAUUCCAUUUAGGGCAGGUUUUAUCUUAGUGCAUUUGUGAUGAUUUUUCUAAAGCAACCAUAACAUAUUAUAUAUGUUUUUGGGGUAGAAAAAUCCCACCAAUCCAGUGGUGGCAUUAGUUUCUGCAUUUGAGCAAGUUCAUGAACAUGUCAUCUCAAUCUAUGUUGCUGUUUUAAGCAGUUUGCAUCAUAUCUUGUCGUGCUUGUCAUUUGCAAACCGUGCACCUGAAUCCGGUGAUCUUUAUAUCGAUUUCAACCGAAAUCAUCUCAUCUUUCCAGUGGCAUACUUGGUUUGCCAAGUUGAUGCCUUGUUCAUCCUUUUUCCUCCUGGAGCACGCAUAUGCAUUGCAUAUCACAUCUCGCAUAUCAUGACAUGUAUUGCAUCAUGUUGUUUGUGCAUUGCACCGUGAUUUAUUGUGGUUCCUUGCUUGUUUUCUUGCUUUGGGUAGAGCCAGGAGACAAGUACGUGCAAGAGGAACCUGUUGAGUACGCUAACGAGGAUCAAGCCUUCGACAACUCUGAGAACCUUGCAGGCAAGAUGACCAUACCUUCGAUAUCACUUCUAUCUUUGCUUGCUAGUACUCGCUCUAUCGCUAUGUUAGCUCAACCUGCCAUUGUUUACCAUGCCUCCCCAUUGCCAUGUCAAACCUCUAACCAUCCUGUCCUAGCAAACCGUUGUUUGGCUAUGUCACCGCUUUUGCUCAGCCCCUCUUAUAGCGUUGUUAGUUGCAGGUGAAGAUGAAGUUUGUUCCUGGUCGGAACAUGAAUAUUUUGGGAUAUCACAAUAUCUCCUGUUUAAAUUAAUGCACCUUAUAUACUUGGUAAAGGGUGGAAGGCUCGGCCUUAUGCCUGGUGACUUGUUCCACUCUUGCCGCCCUAGUUUCCGUCAUACCGGUGUUAUGUUCCUUGAUUUUGCGUUCCUUACACGGUUGGGUGAUUUAUGGGACCCCCUUAACAGUUCGCUUUGAAUAAAACUCCUCUAGCAAGGCCCAAACUUGGUUUUACCAUUUGCCACCUAAGCCCUUUUCCCUUGGGUUUUCACGAGCCCAAGGGUCAUCUUUAUUUUAACCCCCCCCGGGCCAGUGCUCCUUCGAGUGUUGGUCCGAACUGAGCAGCCUGUGGGGCCACCUCGGGGCAACUUGAGGGUUGGUUUUACUCGUAGCUUGACUCAUCUGGUGU
This 17938-nucleotide long non-coding RNA is filed under the name Triticum aestivum (bread wheat). RNAcentral's name for it is "long non-coding RNA (TAES_LNC022585)". Lineage: Eukaryota; Viridiplantae; Streptophyta; Magnoliopsida; Poales; Poaceae. The record is from RNAcentral.